CGGCUCGACUCGGCUCGGCUCGGCCCUGCCCCGGCCCCGCGCGGCCGAUGGGCGGGGAGCGGCGGCCGCCAUGG
Molecule: microRNA precursor, 74 nt
Filed under: Notamacropus eugenii (tammar wallaby)
Lineage: Eukaryota; Metazoa; Chordata; Mammalia; Diprotodontia; Macropodidae
Description: miRNA (ENSMEUG00000017721.1)
Source: RNAcentral